Non-coding RNA from Pelobates cultripes (western spadefoot toad), 264 nucleotides. NCBI's taxonomy places the organism in Eukaryota, Metazoa, Chordata, Amphibia, Anura, Pelobatidae. The record is from the annotation of a GenBank genome assembly.
UCCAGGUAUGCUGCUUAGGGGAGGGCUUACAUUGUUAAGUGGGUAUUGUGGAAAGGGUUAAAUGUAAGAAGGUUAGGGUAGGACAUGUGAUAGGUGAAACAAAGGAAACUUUGGGGAGGAUGAGAGGAAAUACAAGUGAGUAUUGUAGAAUAAUUACAUCACCACUUUAGCAUACUUGAUGUGUGCCUGUCUGUAUCUAACAGUGACUGUCAGGAGGCAUAUCUCGUGUAGGUGUUAAGAGGAGUCCUCAAAUCUAGUUUUAGC